UGCAGUCGAGGGGCAGCGCAGGUAGCAAUACUGGGCGGCGACCGGCAAACGGGUGCGGAACACGUACGUAACCUUCCUUUAAGUGGGAGAUAGCCCGAAGAAAUUCGGAUUAAUACCCCAUAAGAUUGUGGAGUGGCAUCACUCAGCAAUUAAAGAAAUUCGCUUAAAGAUGGGCGUGCGGCUGAUUAGGUAGUUGGUGAGGUAACGGCUCACCAAGCCAACGAUCAGUAACUGGCGUGAGAGCGCGACCAGUCACACGGGCACUGAGACACGGGCCCGACUCCUACGGGAGGCAGCAGUAAGGAAUAUUGGUCAAUGGACGCAAGUCUGAACCAGCCAUGCCGCGUGAAGGAUGAAGGUCCUCUGGAUUGUAAACUUCUUUUAUAUGGGAAGAAACCACUUUUUUCUAAAGGUGUUGACGGUACCAUAGGAAUAAGCACCGGCUAACUCCGUGCCAGCAGCCGCGGUAAUACGGAGGGUGCAAGCGUUAUCCGGAUUCACUGGGUUUAAAGGGUGCGUAGGCGGAUUAGUAAGUCCGUGGUGAAAUCUCCGAGCUUAACUCGGAAACUGCCGUGGAUACUAUUAAUCUUGAAUACUGUGGAGGUUAGCGGAAUAUGUCAUGUAGCGGUGAAAUGCAUAGAUAUGACAUAGAACACCAAUUGCGAAGGCAGCUGGCUACACAGAGAUUGACGCUGAGGCACGAAAGCGUGGGGAUCAAACAGGAUUAGAUACCCUGGUAGUCCACGCCCUAAACGAUGAUUACUCGACAUUUGCGAUAUACAGUAAGUGUCUGAGCGAAAGCAUUAAGUAAUCCACCUGGGAAGUACGACCGCAAGGUUGAAACUCAAAG
RNAcentral lists this ribosomal RNA (850 nucleotides) under uncultured bacterium. RNAcentral's name for it is "bacterial SSU rRNA". It matches the Rfam family "Bacterial small subunit ribosomal RNA", at positions 56 to 906 of the family's 1533-position model. The record is from RNAcentral.